Long non-coding RNA from Marmota monax (woodchuck), 631 nucleotides. RefSeq lists it as uncharacterized. The transcript is spliced from 2 exons. The record is from RefSeq and is a predicted model, not a curated record. NCBI's taxonomy places the organism in Eukaryota, Metazoa, Chordata, Mammalia, Rodentia, Sciuridae.
GCGCCCGCCUCACCCCACCCCUUUGCCGCCCCGCGGGAAAGAACGCAAGCGAACCGGAGGCGACGGGGGACAAACUAGUAAGCGAGUUGGAGCGUGAGAGACACGCCCCCUGAUGCGAUGGAUUGGAUUGCGUGGAAGAGCGCCGUGACGUAGCGUCUGCGGAUUGGUGCGGCGUGUUCGUUGGGAAAGGCGGAGCCGGCAGCUCAGCGCCGGAGCCACGACACCCGACGCAGGGGCAGGAACGGAGAGCUGGUGCCAGGAAGCCUGUUGAAACUGCGUCAGCGGUGAUUAGCUGCACAGUGAAAGCCCAGCUAGCACGGGCCAGUGGCGCAAUGGAUAACGCGUCUGACUACGGAUCAGAAGAUUCUAGGUUCCCAGAUACAAGACCUGAGAAGGCCCAAAACGUUUGCGGCAGCAGGGAGCCUUGAACCCCCGGAGUGGCUGCCUUGAACACUGUAUGAACCAAUUACUCCAUGAUCAAUUAAUUUCUCCCAUCAUAACGUUGUUCCAACAGAAAUUUGUUGAGAAUAAAAAUAAAGCGGGGGCUGGGGAUGUAGCUCAGUGGUAUAGUGGCUGCUUAAACAUACAUACAAGGCACCAAAAAUAAAUAAAGCAAAUUCCUACUCUGUGA